RNAcentral lists this ribosomal RNA (686 nucleotides) under uncultured eukaryote. RNAcentral describes it as "bacterial SSU rRNA". It matches the Rfam family "Eukaryotic small subunit ribosomal RNA", at positions 708 to 1426 of the family's 1831-position model. The record is from RNAcentral.
GUCCCUCUGGACAACACUUUCCUGGGCUCUCGGGUUCGCCCGUAUUACUUUGAGUAAAUGAGAGUGUUCAAAGCAGGCUACGCCUGAAUCUGUUAGCAUGGAAUAAUAAAUACGACGAUGUCCUAUUUUGUUGGUUUCUAGGACCAUCGUAAUGACUAAUAGGGACGGUCGGGGGCAUCCGUAUUUGGUGGCCAGAGUGAAAUCUUGGACUCCCCAAAGACGAACUACUGCGAAAGCAUUUGCCAAGGACGUUUUCAUUAAUCAAGAACGAAAGUUAGGGGAUCGAAGAUGAUCAGAUACCGUCGUAGUCUUAACCAUAAACUAUGCCGACUAGGGAUCGGGCGGCGUUCUCUAAGACGCGCUCGGCACCUUGCGAGAAAUCACAAGUUUUUGGGUUCUGGGGGGAGUAUGGUCGCAAGGCUGAAACUUAAAGGAAUUGACGGAAGGGCACCACCAGGAGUGGAGCCUGCGGCUUAAUUUGACUCAACACGGGGAAACUCACCAGGUCCAGACACAAUAAGGAUUGACAGAUUGAGAGCUCUUUCUUGAUUUUGUGGGUGGUGGUGCAUGGCCGUUCUUAGUUGGUGGAGUGAUUUGUCUGCUUAAUUGCGAUAACGAACGAGACCUUAACCCCUAAAUAGCGCCCGCAGCGCCAGCUGCGCGGGGCUUCUUCGGGGGACUAGCGA